RNAcentral lists this ribosomal RNA (370 nucleotides) under uncultured organism. RNAcentral describes it as "bacterial SSU rRNA". It matches the Rfam family "Bacterial small subunit ribosomal RNA", at positions 526 to 896 of the family's 1533-position model. The record is from RNAcentral.
CGUAGGCAGCGAGCGUUGUUCGGAGUUACUGGGCGUAAAGCGUGCGUAGGCGGUGCCAUAAGUCUGUUGUGAAAUCUCCCGGCUCAACUGGGAGGGUGCGGUGGAAACUGUGGUGCUGGAGUGUGGGAGAGGUAGGCGGAAUUCCUGGUGUAGCGGUGAAAUGCGUAGAUAUCAGGAGGAACACCUGCGGUGUAGACGGCUUACUGGACCACGACUGACGCUGAGGCACGAAAGCGUGGGGAGCAAACAGGAUUAGAUACCCUGGUAGUCCACGCCCUAAACGAUGCAUACUUGGUGUGGGCAAUUCAUUUUGUCCGUGCCGGAGCUAACGCGUUAAGUAUGCCGCCUGGGGAGUACGGUCGCAAGGCUG